CACAUUCACACAGAACCAGAGAAGCAAAAAGGGAGAGAAUAGAGCAAAAUCUCUCUCUGUUUUCACUACAAAAAAUCUUUGAUUUCAACUUGAGAGAGAUCGGAAAUGGCUUCUUCCAAAGAACGUGAGAACUUCGUCUACGUCGCUAAGCUCGCUGAGCAAGCCGAACGCUACGAUGAAAUGGUUGAAGCGAUGAAAAAUGUCGCGAACAUGGAUGUUGAAUUGACUGUGGAGGAAAGGAAUCUUCUUUCUGUUGGUUAUAAGAAUGUGGUAGGUUCUAGGAGAGCAUCUUGGAGGAUCUUGUCCUCUAUUGAGCAGAAGGAAGAAUCUAGAGGAAACGAGCAAAAUGUCAAGCGAAUCAAGGAGUACCUGCAAAAGGUGGAGUCGGAGCUCACCAACAUUUGCAAUGAUAUUAUGGUGGUCAUUGACCAGCAUCUAAUUCCGUCAUGCUCUGCAGGCGAAUCAACUGUGUUUUACCACAAGAUGAAGGGAGACUAUUAUCGUUAUCUUGCAGAAUUUAAAGCUGGCAAUGACAAGAAGGAGGUUGCUGAGCUUUCAUUGAAAGCAUAUCAGGCAGCUACAACUGCUGCGGAGGCGGAAUUAGCACCCACUCAUCCCAUUCGUCUGGGACUGGCUUUAAAUUUCUCUGUUUUCUACUAUGAGAUCAUGAAUUCACCUGAAAGGGCAUGCCAUCUUGCAAAACAGGCCUUCGAUGAAGCAAUAUCUGAGCUGGAUAGCCUGAAUGAGGAUUCCUACAAAGACAGCACCUUGAUUAUGCAACUUCUAAGGGACAACCUCACCUUGUGGACUUCUGAUCUUCCAGAGGAUGCUGAAGAUGCCCAAAAGGGAGAUGCCACAAACAAAGCUGGUGGAGGUGAAGAUGCAGAGUGAAUGGGCCUAAUAGUUAGAACUACUAUGUGUAUUUGGAGGUGUGACGACAAGGAUACGCCAAGGGGGAUGUUAGUUUGUUAAGUCUUAGUAGAUACUUCUAUUAUGGGUCUGUCGUGUCAGAUUCUUCACUUGUUAAUUGGUUGUCUGCAACUCAGUGUGUAAUUUGUAUCCCUGUGCUAUUUCCGUUCUCCGUAUAGUGAGUUGUUUCAGUCUUUAGAUAAUUGCUGGUCUAUAGGUGGUUUUAUUUUUCAGAUGACUGCCGCAGCCAAAUGGAGGAUAUCAGCUAUUUGCUUGUCCUCUCACCCUUAUUAUCUCAAUAUCACUAAAUUUCCAUUAUUUUCUCUUUUUUCAUUUAGUUUGGAGC
This 1255-nucleotide unclassified non-coding RNA is filed under the name Hevea brasiliensis (rubber tree). Lineage: Eukaryota; Viridiplantae; Streptophyta; Magnoliopsida; Malpighiales; Euphorbiaceae. The record is from RNAcentral.